Molecule: ribosomal RNA, 401 nt
Filed under: uncultured bacterium
Lineage: Bacteria
Description: bacterial SSU rRNA
Rfam family: Bacterial small subunit ribosomal RNA
Source: RNAcentral
GGGGAAUCUUGCACAAUGGGCGAAAGCCUGAUGCAGCAACGCCGCGUGCGGGAAGAAGGCCCUAGGGUUGUAAACCGCUUUCAGUAGGGAAGAAAAUGACGGUACCUAUAGAAGAAGGUGCGGCCAACUACGUGCCAGCAGCCGCGGUGACACGUAGGCACCAAGCGUUGUCCGGAUUUAUUGGGCGUAAAGAGCUCGUAGGCGGUUCAGUAAGUCGGGUGUGAAAACUCAGGGCUCAACCCUGAGAUGCCAUUCGAUACUGCUGUGACUUGAGUAUGGUAGGGGAGCGGGGAAUUCCUGGUGUAGCGGUGAAAUGCGCAGAUAUCAGGAGGAACACCAGUGGCGAAGGCGCCGCUCUGGGCCAUUACUGACGCUGAGGAGCGAAAGCGUGGGUAGCAAAC